Non-coding RNA from Cinara cedri, 609 nucleotides. The record is from the annotation of a GenBank genome assembly. Lineage: Eukaryota; Metazoa; Arthropoda; Insecta; Hemiptera; Aphididae.
GCGGCGUUUCGAUAACAAAAUAGUAGUAUACAAUAAUAUCAACACCGCGACUCGAGCGCGAAAACUCCGCGGACGUCGUAAAUAUAUUGUGUCCCGCUGGUUUUGAUACGCCGUUUAAAAAAAAAAAAAAAAAAUAAUAAUAAUAAUAAUAAUAAUAAUAAUGCAUAUUAGUGAUGUCAGACAUGUCCGGAUACCAAUGUAAAUUCGGAUGAUCCGAAUAAUUCGAAUGCCUUUGAUUUGAUCUGCAGUGGUGCAAAUAGGGGACGUUCUUAUCGGCCUCACAAAAAUGGCAUUUGUAUCAGUAGUGCACAACGACAUAAUCACUCACAGAUACCCGCGUUGUUUAAAAUUAAUAACGCAAUUGUUGGACUAUUAUGAAACCGUUCGGAUCAUCCGGAUUAUCGGAAUAAUUCGGAUUUCGAAUAAACGGAUAUAGAUAUCCGGUUUAUCCGGUUUAUCCGAAUCCGGAUAGUUGACAUCACCAACGCGCAUGUAAUAUACACAUUCGUUAUGAAUAUGAAUUUUUUUUUUUUUUUUUUGUAAAAGAUUUUCGUUAUUAUACGUUUAAUACGUAUGUAUAGGUAGUUUGCGAUGCGAAAAAUCGUUUUG